UCAAGUGCCUUAAGGGUGUUCGGUGGAUGCCUUGGCGCUGAGAGGCGAUGAAGGACGUGCUACGCUGCGAUAAGCCGUGGGGAGCUGCGAAGAAGCUUUGAUCCACGGAUUUCCGAAUGGGGAAACCCACCUUCGAUAGCCGGAACUCCAAGGCCUUGUGUCUUGGUGUUUGAAUAGAAAUAUUUGAUGCCAAGCCGCGAGGUUUUGGAUUUCCGGUUAUCAAGUGAAGGUAUGAAACUUCUGAAUUCAUAGGAGGUUUUAAGCGAACCCAGGGAACUGAAACAUCUAAGUACCUGGAGGAAAGGACAUCAACAGAGACUCCGUUAGUAGUGGCGAGCGAACGCGGACCAGGCCAGUGAUACAUCAAAGACAACCGGAACCUGUCAGGAAAGCAGGGCCUCAGAGGGUGAUAGCCCCGUACGGGUAAUGCAAUGAUGUGUCCUUGAGUAAGGCGGAACACGUGCAAUUCUGUCUGAACGUGGGGGGACCACCCUCCAAGCCUAAGUACUCCUCAGCGACCGAUAGUGAACCAGUACCGUGAGGGAAAGGUGAAAAGCACCCCGACGAGGGGAGUGAAAUAGACCUGAAACCGGACACCUACAAACAGAUGGAGCCCAAGAUACGUUCUGGGUGACAUCGUACCUUUUGUAUUAUGGGCCAGCGACUUAAUUUAACGAGCAAGCUUAAGCCGAUAGGUGUAUGCGCAGCGAAAGCGAGUCUGAAUAGGGCGCCAAGUUCGUUGUAUUAGACCCGAAACCUAGUGAUCUAGCCAUGAGCAGGUUGAAGGUGAGGUAACACUCACUGGAGGACCGAACGGGUGUCUGUUGAAAAAGACUCCGAUGACUUGUGGUUAGGGGUGAAAGGCCAAUCAAACUGGGAAAUAGCUGGUUCUCCGCGAAAGAUAUUUAGGUAUCGCCUCGCAUGAAUGCUUCGGGGGGUAGAGCACUGGAUGGGCUAGGGGGACUUACCGUCUUACCAAACCCAACCAAACUCCGAAUACCUGAGAGUACUAUCCGGGAGACACACGGCGGGUGCUAACGUCCGUCGUGGAGAGGGAAAAAACCCUGACCAACAGCUAAGGCCCCUAAUUCGUGGCUAAGUGUGAAAGGAUGUGGGAAUCCCAAAACAACCAGGAGGUUGGCUUAGAAGCAGCCAUCCUUUAAAGAAAGCGUAACAGCUCACUGGUCUAAAUAAGGGUUUCUGCGCCGAAGAUGUACCGGGGCUCAAGCCAUGAGCCGAAGCUUUGGGUUCGUCGCAAGACGAGCGGUAGCGGAGCGUUCCGUAGGCUGAUGAAGGGAGACCCGUGAGGGCUCCUGGAGGCAUCGGAAGUGCGAAUGCUGACAUGAGUAACGACAAACACUGUGAAAGACAGUGUCGCCGAAAGUCCAAGGGUUCCUGCGUAAAGUUAAUCUUCGCAGGGUUAGCCGGUCCCUAAGGCGAGGCAGAAAUGCGUAGUCGAUGGGAAUGCAGUGAAUAUUCUGCAGCCAGUGGAAUGGUGACGAAUCUCGUAUGUUGUCUGACCUUAUUGGAUUGGUCGGGCCUCGAAGAGGUUCCAGGAAAUAGCCUCCACAUUAGACCGUACCCGAAACCGACACAGGUGGACUGGUAGAGUAUACCAAGGCGCUUGAGAGAACUAUGUUGAAGGAACUCGGCAAUUUACCUCCGUAACUUCGGGAUAAGGGGGCCCUCUAUGUACGCAAGUGCAUAGGGGGGGCACAGACCAGGGGGUGGCAACUGUUUAACAAAAACACAGGGCUCUGCGAAAUCGCAAGAUGACGUAUAGGGUCUGACGCCUGCCCGGUGCCGGAAGGUUAAGAGGAGGAGUGCAAGCUCUGAAUUGAAGCCCCGGUAAACGGCGGCCGUAACUAUAACGGUCCUAAGGUAGCGAAAUUCCUUGUCGGGUAAGUUCCGACCUGCACGAAUGGCGUAAUGACUUCCCCGCUGUCUCCAGCGUCAGCUCAGUGAAAUUGAAUUCCCCGUGAAGAUGCGGGGUUCCUGCGGUCAGACGGAAAGACCCCGUGCACCUUUACUGUAGCUUUGC
This 2041-nucleotide ribosomal RNA is filed under the name soil metagenome. RNAcentral's name for it is "bacterial LSU rRNA". It matches the Rfam family "Bacterial large subunit ribosomal RNA", at positions 1 to 2115 of the family's 2925-position model. The record is from RNAcentral.